ACCAAACAUCCCCAAACCCUCCAAACCCUCCAAACCCGUUCCAUUCACUCCACCCCCAUCCCUCCCUUCGUCUCUCUCAAGAGACCAAUACCCAAGAACCCAAGCUAGCCGCCACCCCUCCACCCGCCUGAAAACCCGGCGGCGCCGGCUCCUUUUGCCACCAAAUACACACCACUGAACCUCCUAAAUCCCCUCUUCAUGAAUCCAUGACCCGUUUAGUUCGAAUCAUGCUCUAGCUCCUCGUUCGAGUAAAAUACAAAACCAUCCCAACUGGCCCCAAACACACCCCAAACACGUCCCUAGCCUCCCUCGUCACCAAACCAUACCUGGUUUGGUUCGAAUCUAACCCAAGCUACUCGAACCCCAAUACGAGCCCCAAGAACCCUAAAAAUUCAAGCCUUGUUUAAGUGUCCAAAUUGAGAGAUUUGAGUGUUCAAGCGACCUUAGUCGAAGUGUUCCCAGUUGAGAACACUCGAUUAAGGUCUGUUUUGCCUCAAAGGCUCAAGGUCCGAAAUUGGCCCGAGAUGUUUGAUUUUCUGAUUUUUUCUUCUAAAGUUACCCCUUAUUCUUUUUCUUCUAUUUUUCACUAACUAAUUUAGUUUAGUUUUGUUAUUUUUAUAUUUUCCAAUUUUUUGCCGAGUUCUCUUUUUUUCCAAAUCGAAGUCCUUUCAUUUGGUCGAUUUUUAUUCUGUUUGAUGUGUUUGUUAUAGAAUACAUGUUCGAUUCGAUUAGUAUUGUCGAAUAAUUUGUUUCAUAUUUACCCUAUUUUGUCCGAAUGCCAUGAGUCCGAGGUUGUGUGUCGAUUAUUUGUUGUCAAUUAUAUGUUUGUAAUCGAUUUGAUUGUUGUCGUCGAUUAGUUGAUUGUAUUAUAAUCCAAUAUUUUUGUCAAAUACGGGUCGAAUCACUUGUAUAUUUUUCUGUUGAUUAUUUGUCGAUAAUUGUUGUACAUUAUGGCCUAUAUGGUCGAUUAAAUAAGUAUCGUCAUUGAAAUGUGCUUGAAAAUUUCAGAGGCACUGAUUUUGUUUUGUUCAAGUAUAAUGUCAACAUAUUUUCUGAUUGUUUGAAUCAUUGUUGGAUUUAGAUGAUGAAUUGGUUAUAGUUGCAUAAUCAGAAGUUUAAUUCUGUUCAGUUUGUUAAGUUUAAGUAGAUUUUAGUUUUAAGUCUGAUUAAUAUUAGGGGGUAGGAUAGUUGUUGCAGUAGUUUCAGGGGUAACGUAGGAACAUGAAAUUUGAAAAAUUGGUUUGAUUGAGCGUUCUGUCCAGUAGGGCCCUAAUAGCUGUAAUUUGAACUAAUUGGUAGGGGGCCACUAAGUAAUGAGAGUGUUUACUUAAUUGAAAUUAGAAAUAGUAUCAGUAAUAAUAAAAGGGUAAAAGAUAGACUUAGUUAGGAGAAUAUUGGCCUGGAAAGUGAAAAGAGGUAUAAGUAAUAAUAAAAAGGUGAUAGUAAAAGAAAAAAUAAGGGUUGGGAAGAGGGGUCUAGUGGUGGAUAUAAAUAGAAGAGGUCUUAGAACUUGAACUGUGGGAGAAGAUCUUUUCAGUCUAAGAAGGAUUCAAAAAGAAAUAGAACAAAAACCUCAAUGUUUUGAUAACUUCUUUCGAUCAAUUUUUGAAGAUAAAAAAAAGAGCUUGGAGAGAAAAGAACGGUUCCAUUGUUUCUUUUUGAGUUCAUUUUUCAAUCUAUAACUGAAUUUCAGUUUCUAUAUGCUUUUGAAAAACCAGAAUAGUGCUUUGAACUAGAGGUUUUACCCAGGGAUACUGUUACGUUAGUUUUGAGAGCAGAAAUAGUCAGAAUCUCUUGUUUUCUAUUCUAUAUUUGGGUAUUCAAAACAUUUGAGUUGAUUGUUGAUCUGUGUGGAGUACAGUCUGUUUGGCCGUGUGGGUUUUUGAGACUGGUUUUGAGUUUUUGCUAGAUUCUAAGCUUUUGUUCCUUCUGCUACUGUUGGUUCUACUGUGUUGCUGAAACUGUUGUUAUCUACUGUUACUGUUGUUGGCUUCCUACUGAUCUUCCCCUUCUUCUUUGCUUUUCCAAAUACCAGGUACCCACAUCUGAUACACUUGCUCAAUGUAGAUGUAACUUGAAGCAUGAAUAAAAUGAAAUCUUAAAGCUUUGAAUUCAUUUAGUCAUUUCGUAUCUUAAGUUAUGCAUAUGUAGUUAAUAGUCUUCACUAGAACAUGUAAAGUGAUUGUUAUGUAUGACCGAGUAUAAAUCUGUAAUAGUUUAGAUGAUAAACUCUUUCUCUCGUAUGUUAGUUUAAACGAGCUAAUGACGUAGUAAUUCGUUUUCUGUUAUUUCAGUCCAUUUUAUUUAAAAGCAUGAAUAGGCCUUAGUUGAUUAAUACAUAGCUUAAGCCAUUUCAGUGGAUAAAAAUGCAUAAUCAAACUUGGAAAAACUUGUGUAAUUAGAC
Molecule: long non-coding RNA, 2404 nt
Filed under: Nicotiana benthamiana
Lineage: Eukaryota; Viridiplantae; Streptophyta; Magnoliopsida; Solanales; Solanaceae
Description: long non-coding RNA (NBEN_LNC016850)
Source: RNAcentral